This 1000-nucleotide ribosomal RNA is filed under the name uncultured bacterium. Its description in RNAcentral is "bacterial SSU rRNA". It matches the Rfam family "Bacterial small subunit ribosomal RNA", at positions 353 to 1371 of the family's 1533-position model. The record is from RNAcentral.
AGUGGGGAAUAUUGCACAAUGGAGGAAACUCUGAUGCAGCAACGCCGCGUGGAGGAUGACGCAUUUCGGUGUGUAAACUCCUUUUAUAUAGGAAGAUAAUGACGGUACUAUAUGAAUAAGCACCGGCUAACUCCGUGCCAGCAGCCGCGGUAAUACGGAGGGUGCAAGCGUUACUCGGAAUCACUGGGCGUAAAGCGCAUGCAGGCGGUCUAAUAAGUUGGAAGUGAAAUCCUAUGGCUCAACCGUAGAACUGCUUCCAAAACUGUUAGACUAGAGUCUGGGAGGGGAAGAUGGAAUUAGUGGUGUAGGGGUGAAAUCCGUAGAGAUCAGGAGGAAUACCGAAAGCGAAGGCGACUUACUGGAACAAUAUUGACGCUGAUGCGCGAAAGCGUGGGGAGCAAACAGGAUUAGAUACCCUGGUAGUCCACGCCCUAAACGAUGGACACUAGUCGUUGGUAUGCUAGACAUAUCAGUGACGCAGUUAACACAUUAAGUGUCCCGCCUGGGGAGUACGGUCGCAAGAUUAAAACUCAAAGGAAUAGACGGGGACCCGCACAAGUGGUGGAGCAUGUGGUUUAAUUCGAAGAUACGCGAAGAACCUUACCUAGCCUCGACAUAUUAUAGAAUUCAGUAGAGAUACAGAAGUGCCUUCGGGAGCUAUAUUACAGGUGCUGCACGGCUGUCGUCAGCUCGUGUCGUGAGAUGUUGGGUUAAGUCCCGCAACGAGCGCAACCCUCGUCACUAGUUACUAACGGUUAGGCCGAGGACUCUAGUGAGACUGCCUUCGUAAGGAGGAGGAAGGUGAGGACGACGUCAAGUCAUCAUGGCCCUUACGGCUAGGGCAACACACGUGCUACAAUGGUUAGGACAAUGAGAAGCAAUAUCGCGAGGUGGAGCAAAUCUAUAAACCUAAUCUCAGUUCGGAUUGUAGUCUGCAACUCGACUACAUGAAGCUGGAAUCACUAGUAAUCGUAGAUCAGCUAUGCUACGGUGAAUACGU